Molecule: non-coding RNA, 919 nt
Filed under: Desmognathus fuscus (dusky salamander)
Lineage: Eukaryota; Metazoa; Chordata; Amphibia; Caudata; Plethodontidae
Source: RNAcentral
AAUAGAUUUGGUCCUAAUCUUUAUAUUAAUUACAACUAUAUUUAUACAUGCAAACUUCAUCGCUACAGUGAGAAUGCCCUUUAUUUUCUAAUUAAAAGUAAAGGAGCAGGUAUCAGGCACCAAAAGCCCAUGACACCUUGUUUAGCCACACCUUCACAGGAAUUCAGCAGUAAUAAACAUUAAACAAUGAGCGAAAAGCUCGAUUUAGCAAUAAUUGAUUAGAGUUGGUAAAUCUCGUGCCAGCCACCGCGGUUAUACGAGAAACUCAUAUUAAUAUCUACGGCCUAAAGGGUAGUUUUAGAUCUAAUAAAAUAGAAUUUAAAAUUUAUUUAAUAGUUAUAUAUAAUUAUAAAAUGUAAAUCCAAAAACGAAAGUUAUACUAUAUAAUCUUGAAUCUACUAUAGCUGAGAAACAAACUGGGAUUAGAUACCCCACUAUGCUCAACCUUAAAAUGGAUAUUCCCGCCAGAGCAUUACGAGCUACAGCUUAAAACUCAAAGGACUUGGCGGUGCUCUAUACCCACCUAGAGGAGCCUGUUCUAUAAUCGACACUCCCCGAUAAACCUCACCAUUUCUCGCUACUACAGCCUAUAUACCACCGCCCUCAGUUCAUCUUUUAAAAGAAUAAUAAUGAACAAAAUGAUUAAAAAUAAAAAAGUCAGGUCAAGGUGUAGCAAAUGAAAUGGAAAGAAAUGGGCUACAUUUUUUAAUAAUAAAAAACGGAAUAUUAUAUGAAAUAAAAUAUAAAGAAGGAUUUAGAAGUAAAAAGAAAAAAGAGUGUUCUUUUUAAAUUGGCAAUAGAGCACGCACACACCGCCCGUCACCCUUUUCAAAAUAUAUAAAACUUAAAUAAAUAUAUAAACUUACAAGAAAAGGUAAGUCGUAACAUGGUAAGUCUACCGGAAGGUGGCCUUAGAUAU